GUAUAUGCAAAAUGCAGUGAUCUGCAAAUGCAGUUCAAGUAGACAACAUGAACAAAAUGAAUAGUACAGAUGUGCAGAAAACGAAGAUUAUCAUCUUGAUUUAUUUUACAAAACGUAGAUUCUUAUUACCAGUUGUGGUACAGUUUUUUUGUAUAAAGCUUCCACUCAGUGGAAACAUUUGUAGAAUCAUGUAAUAGCAGAAGUGUAAUGAUAAGUUUUUUUCAGCAGCUAAUAUCUAACUAAACUAAACGGUCUCAUGGUCUUUAGUACCAAUAAUCCUCUUCCAUGUCUCCAACAAGCGUUACCUGAGGCCUCCAACUCUUAAACUCUCAGACGAGCAGUCACACUUGCUGAGUUGUGGCCUUUGGAUAAAUUUAGACAUUUAUUCCAGUGAUGUCACGCAACAGAAACUCCCUUUCAGAAUUUGUAUUUCUGGACAGUUUUUUAACCCAAAUAGAGUUCCAGCAAGUAGAACACACAUGAAGGGCACUGCAAUUACGAUUGGUGGCAGUCCCGGCGUAAAGACGUCUCCAUCAGCAUUUCUCUCCGUCCCUGGCCAGUGCACAGACAGGUUUGUCUGUUACUGACGCAAUGGGACUCAAAAGAAAUGAUUAGUAAGGCGCCGGAGGGAGGUUCACGACCUGAAAUGCACCACUGACUCAAGAAAAAUGUGUUUUUCUAGCUUUAUAUGUGUGCGCACUGAUGCAAGUGUUUUCUUUGUUACUCCGUGGUGAGAGCAGUCAUUCACUAUGUUUUCUGUCAGCUCCAUUUUCUUUCAGAGGCACAGAGCCCAGUCAUGAAGGUGUCAGUGACAGUGAGGCUCGACACUCAUUUUUCUCCCUGCUGUGCUACUUUAUUAUUCCACUGGAGAAAAAUGGUGGAUGCUGCGUCUGCUGCGGGGAGAUGUUUGAUGUUUUCAUCUGCUGAUCUAAACUGUUGAGUCAUGGACGGCCAACAGGCCUGUGGUUAGAGAGGUCAGUGAUAAUGGCGAAGGUACGUACGAAGGUUAUGUAUUGUCACAAUAUAUUACUCUGUUUCUGAGUGGGCUGCUCAUAUAGUACAUAAUGGAAACGUAUUGUUUUUUCGAUGUGGGGCCAAGUACAAGUGUUGGGUUACAAUAUAUGGUUUUCAUUUCUAAGUAUAACUUCACAUUGGCGCCUUUUACUACAUAUUAAAUAAAUCUGUUGCACAUUAGGAAUAAGAAUGUAAUCAGGCUCAAAUGGAGUUACCUGCACUGAAGGCUGGGUACCAUUUUAAUCGUUAAUAUGUUUGACCAUAUUCUUC
This 1284-nucleotide long non-coding RNA is filed under the name Sander lucioperca (pikeperch). RNAcentral describes it as "lncRNA (ENSSLUG00000014648.1)". The record is from RNAcentral. Lineage: Eukaryota; Metazoa; Chordata; Actinopteri; Perciformes; Percidae.